GGCGGCAGGCCUAACACAUGCAAGUCGAGCGGUAGAGAGAAGCUUGCUUCUCUUGAGAGCGGCGGACGGGUGAGUAAUGCCUGGGAAUCUGCCUGGUAGUGGGGGAUAACGUUCGGAAACGGACGCUAAUACCGCAUACGUCCUACGGGAGAAAGCAGGGGACCUUCGGGCCUUGCGCUAUCAGAUGAGCCUAGGUCGGAUUAGCUAGUUGGUGAGGUAAUGGCUCACCAAGGCGACGAUCCGUAACUGGUCUGAGAGGAUGAUCAGUCACACUGGAACUGAGACACGGUCCAGACUCCUACGGGAGGCAGCAGUGGGGAAUAUUGGACAAUGGGCGAAAGCCUGAUCCAGCCAUGCCGCGUGUGUGAAGAAGGUCUUCGGAUUGUAAAGCACUUUAAGUUGGGAGGAAGGGUUGUAGAUUAAUACUCUGCAAUUUUGACGUUACCGACAGAAUAAGCACCGGCUAACUCUGUGCCAGCAGCCGCGGUAAUACAGAGGGUGCAAGCGUUAAUCGGAAUUACUGGGCGUAAAGCGCGCGUAGGUGGUUUGUUAAGUUGGAUGUGAAAUCCCCGGGCUCAACCUGGGAACUGCAUUCAAAACUGACUGACUAGAGUAUGGUAGAGGGUGGUGGAAUUUCCUGUGUAGCGGUGAAAUGCGUAGAUAUAGGAAGGAACACCAGUGGCGAAGGCGACCACCUGGACUAAUACUGACACUGAGGUGCGAAAGCGUGGGGAGCAAACAGGAUUAGAUACCCUGGUAGUCC
RNAcentral lists this ribosomal RNA (763 nucleotides) under uncultured bacterium. RNAcentral describes it as "bacterial SSU rRNA". It matches the Rfam family "Bacterial small subunit ribosomal RNA", at positions 38 to 796 of the family's 1533-position model. The record is from RNAcentral.